GACGUAGGGCGCGAGCGUUGUCCGGAUUUAUUGGGCGUAAAGAGCUCGUAGGCGGCUUGUCGCGUCGACUGUGAAAACCCGUGGCUCAACCAUGUGGUCUGCAGUCGAUACGGGCAGGCUAGAAUUCGGUAGGGGAGACUGGAAUUCCUGGUGUAGCGGUGAAAUGCGCAGAUAUCAGGAGGAACACCGGUGGCGAAGGCGGAUCUCUGGGCCUUACCUGACGCUGAGGCGCGAAAGCUAGGGGAGCAAACAGG
RNAcentral lists this ribosomal RNA (254 nucleotides) under uncultured bacterium. RNAcentral's name for it is "partial 16S ribosomal RNA". It matches the Rfam family "Bacterial small subunit ribosomal RNA", at positions 524 to 776 of the family's 1533-position model. The record is from RNAcentral.